GUGCUCACUUUGGCAGCACAUAUACUAAAACUGGAGCGAUACAGAGAAGAUUAGCAUGGCCCCUGUGCAAGGAAGACGCACAAAUUCGUGAAGUGUUCCAUAUUUUU
Tupaia belangeri (northern tree shrew) is the source of this 107-nucleotide small nuclear RNA. The record is from Ensembl. Lineage: Eukaryota; Metazoa; Chordata; Mammalia; Scandentia; Tupaiidae.